CGGGUGAGUAAUGCGUGACCAACCUGCCCCAUGCUCCAGAAUAGCUCUUGGAAACGGGUGGUAAUGCUGGAUGCUCCAACUUGACGCAUGUCUUGUUGGGAAAGUGUUUAGUGGCAUGGGAUGGGGUCGCGUCCUAUCAGCUUGUAGGCGGGGUAAUGGCCCACCUAGGCUUCGACGGGUAGCCGGCCUGAGAGGGCGGACGGCCACAUUGGGACUGAGAUGCGGCCCAGACUCCUACGGGAGGCAGCAGGG
Molecule: ribosomal RNA, 252 nt
Filed under: uncultured Gardnerella sp.
Lineage: Bacteria; Bacillati; Actinomycetota; Actinomycetes; Bifidobacteriales; Bifidobacteriaceae
Description: partial 16S ribosomal RNA
Rfam family: Bacterial small subunit ribosomal RNA
Source: RNAcentral